Molecule: ribosomal RNA, 253 nt
Filed under: uncultured bacterium
Lineage: Bacteria
Description: partial 16S ribosomal RNA
Rfam family: Bacterial small subunit ribosomal RNA
Source: RNAcentral
UACGUAGGUGACCAGCGUUGUCCGGAUUUACUGGGCGUAAAGAGCGCGCAGGCGGUCGUUCAAGUCGAGUGUGAAAGCCCCCGGCUCAACUGGGGAGGGUCAUUCGAUACUGAUCGACUGGAAGGCAGGAGAGGGAAGCGGAAUUCCUGGUGUAGCGGUGAAAUGCGCAGAUAUCAGGAGGAACACCGGUGGCGAAGGCGGAUCUCUGGGCCAUUACUGACGCUGAGGAGCGAAAGCGUGGGGAGCGAACAGG